RNAcentral lists this ribosomal RNA (500 nucleotides) under uncultured bacterium. RNAcentral describes it as "partial 16S ribosomal RNA". It matches the Rfam family "Bacterial small subunit ribosomal RNA", at positions 30 to 523 of the family's 1533-position model. The record is from RNAcentral.
AUUGAACGCUGGCGGAAUGCUUUACACAUGCAAGUCGAACGGCAGCACGGACUUCGGUCUGGUGGCGAGUGGCGAACGGGUGAGUAACAUAUCGGAACGUAUCCAAUAAUGGGGGAUAACUAAUCGAAAGGUUGGCUAAUACCGCAUACGCCCUACGGGGGAAAGCUAGGGACCUUCGGGCCUGGCGUUAAUGGAGCGGCCGAUACCUGAUUAGCUAGUUGGUGGGGUAAAGGCCCACCAAGGCGACGAUCAGUAGCUGGUCUGAGAGGACGACCAGCCACACUGGAACUGAGACACGGUCCAGACUCCUACGGGAGGCAGCAGUGGGGAAUAUUGGACAAUGUGCGCAAGCCUGAUCCAGCCAUUCCGCGUGAGUGAAGAAGGCCUUCGGGUUGUAAAGCUCUUUCGCAAGGGAAGAAAACUUACCCUCUAACAUAGGGUGAGGUUGACGGUACCUUGAUAAGAAGCACCGGCUAACUACGUGCCAGCAGCCGCAGUAA